Molecule: ribosomal RNA, 119 nt
Filed under: Cebus imitator (Panamanian white-faced capuchin)
Lineage: Eukaryota; Metazoa; Chordata; Mammalia; Primates; Cebidae
Source: RNAcentral
AUCUACGGCCAUACCACCCUGAAUGCACCCGAUCUCAUCUGAUCUCGGAAGCUAAACAGGGUUGGGCCUGGUUAGUACUUGGAUGGGAGACCGCCUGGGAAUACCAGGUGCUGUAGGCU